RNAcentral lists this ribosomal RNA (253 nucleotides) under uncultured bacterium. Its description in RNAcentral is "partial 16S ribosomal RNA". It matches the Rfam family "Bacterial small subunit ribosomal RNA", at positions 524 to 776 of the family's 1533-position model. The record is from RNAcentral.
UACGUAGGCAGCAAGCGUUGUUCGGAAUUACUGGGCGUAAAGAGUGUGUAGGCGGUGUUCCAAGUCUGGUGUGAAAUCUCCCGGCUCAACUGGGAGGGUGCAUUAGAAACUGGGAUGCUAGAGGAUGGGAGAGGUAAGCGGAAUUCCUGGUGUAGCGGUGAAAUGCGUAGAUAUCAGGAGGAACACCUGUGGUGUAGACAGCUUACUGGACCAUUUCUGACGCUGAGACACGAAAGCGUGGGUAGCAAACAGG